RNAcentral lists this ribosomal RNA (618 nucleotides) under uncultured Actinomycetes bacterium. Its description in RNAcentral is "bacterial SSU rRNA". It matches the Rfam family "Bacterial small subunit ribosomal RNA", at positions 721 to 1339 of the family's 1533-position model. The record is from RNAcentral. Lineage: Bacteria; Bacillati; Actinomycetota; Actinomycetes.
GCAGGUCUCUGGGCCACUACUGACGCUGAGAAGCGAAAGCAUGGGGAGCGAACAGGAUUAGAUACCCUGGUAGUCCAUGCCGUAAACGUUGGGAACUAGGUGUGGGUCUCAUUCCACGAGAUCCGUGCCGCAGCUAACGCAUUAAGUUCCCCGCCUGGGGAGUACGGCCGCAAGGCUAAAACUCAAAGGAAUUGACGGGGGCCCGCACAAGCGGCGGAGCAUGCGGAUUAAUUCGAUGCAACGCGAAGAACCUUACCAAGGCUUGACAUACACCGGAAACAUCCAGAGAUUGGUGCCCCGCAGGGUCGGUGUACAGGUGGUGCAUGGUUGUCGUCAGCUCGUGUCGUGAGAUGUUGGGUUAAGUCCCGCAACGAGCGCAACCCUCGUUCUAUGUUGCCAGCACGUAAUGGUGGGGACUCAUAGGAGACUGCCGGGGUCAACUCGGAGGAAGGUGGGGAUGACGUCAAAUCAUCAUGCCCCUUAUGUCUUGGGCUUCACGCAUGCUACAAUGGCCGGUACAAAGGGCUGCGAAACCGCGAGGUGGAGCGAAUCCCAAAAAACCGGUCUCAGUUCGGAUUGGGGUCUGCAACUCGACCCCAUGAAGUCGGAGUCGCUAGU